AUGUCUCUUGCCUCGCUCGAUCUCCCGUUCCCCUCGGUUGAUCUUGAGCUGGAUGCAGCUGUACUAGGUACAGAUUGUACGAGACGAGAAGAAGGCUUCGCCUCCGACGAUCUUUGAGUACGAUUUUAUCCGCAUGCCACGGAUAUGAUCGUAAUUUAUCCGUCGGGACAUCA
This 173-nucleotide small nucleolar RNA is filed under the name Aspergillus carbonarius ITEM 5010. The record is from RNAcentral. Lineage: Eukaryota; Fungi; Ascomycota; Eurotiomycetes; Eurotiales; Aspergillaceae.